Molecule: ribosomal RNA, 305 nt
Filed under: uncultured bacterium
Lineage: Bacteria
Description: bacterial SSU rRNA
Rfam family: Bacterial small subunit ribosomal RNA
Source: RNAcentral
ACCUACGGGAGGCAGCAGUGGGGAAUAUUGGGCAAUGGAGGAAACUCUGACCCAGCAAUGCCGCGUGAAUGAAGAAGGUCUUCGGAUUGUAAAGUUCUUUAGUUAGGGAAGAAUAAAAUGACGGUACCUAAAGAAUAAGCCCCGGCUAACUACGUGCCAGCAGCCGCGGUAAUACGUAGGGGGCAAGCGUUAUCCGGAUUUACUGGGUGUAAAGGGAGCGCAGACGGCUGUGCAAGUCUGGAGUGAAAGGCGGGGGCCCAACCCCCGGACUGCUCUGGAAACUGUAAAGCUGGAGUGCAGGAGAG